RNAcentral lists this long non-coding RNA (525 nucleotides) under Homo sapiens (human). Its description in RNAcentral is "non-protein coding NUTM2B-AS1:19". Lineage: Eukaryota; Metazoa; Chordata; Mammalia; Primates; Hominidae. The record is from RNAcentral.
CCCGUCCCGUCCGCGCAGCGCGUCCGGCCCGCCCGCAGGCCAGCUUCUCUCGGGAGCCCCCACCCAGGCGCAUGGCUCCAUGAAGCAAGAGGAGGAGGCAGAGCGCGAGAGGUCCCGUCCGCCCCAGCCGCGUCUGGGCCAGGAUAAAAGCAAAACCAUAUUCCUGCUGCUGUCAGUUAUGAUGCACUGAGAAAACUUCAGAGACCUAAACUUUUUCCAGAGAAGAGAAGCUUUACUGGUGUUCCAGCCCUAAGAAACCUUUGUUCAAGAAAACGGCAGAUGCUCUGUUGAAUCCACUGGAGAUUGUUCUGAUACUAAGGACAAGUAUCAACCAUCUUUCCUGUGAAAAAUUCCCUCUCGUACUUUAGUUCUGUGGAUCCAAAAUUUAUAGCAUUCUUCUACCACCACAGGGGCUCAUAUGACAUUAACAGACAAGACACUUUUCAGAAAGACAGGCAACGUGUUGGACCUUCCGGAGCUUCUCAGAAGACAGAGGGUUUUCUUUUGAGACAGGGUCUCAUUCUG